CUACCGGUCGGCGACGGUACUGCUUUGGGUACUUUCAGGACCCGUCUUGAAACACGGACCAAGGAGUCUAACAUGUGCGCGAGUCAUUGGGUGUUGUUAAAGAUAUCGAUUAAACCUAAAGGCGCAAUGAAAGUGAAGGUCGUCCUUAGCGUCGAUCGAGGGAGGAUGGCCCGGGUUCGCCCGAGUCCGCACUCCCGGGGCGUCUCACGGUCGUUACGACCAGAGGCGCACCCAGAGCGUACACGUUGGGACCCGAAAGAUGGUGAACUAUGCCUGGUCAGGACGAAGUCAGGGGAAACCCUGAUGGAGGUCCGUAGCGAUUCUGACGUGCAAAUCGAUCGUCGGAACUGGGUAUAGGGGCGAAAGACUAAUCGAACCAUCUAGUAGCUGGUUCCCUCCGAAGUUUCCCUCAGGAUAGCUGGCACUCGCUCGAUGAAAACGAGUCUCAUCUGGUAAAGCGAAUGAUUAGAGGCCUUGGGGCCGAAACGACCUCAACCUAUUCUCAAACUUUAAAUGGGUGAGAUCUCUGGCUUGCUUGAACGUUGAAGCCAUGAGAUUUUUUCUACAAAAGUGGAUCAGAGUGCCAAGUGGGCCAAUUUUGGUAAGCAGAACUGGCGCUGUGGGA
Molecule: ribosomal RNA, 625 nt
Filed under: Blastophaga sp. ex Ficus stenophylla
Lineage: Eukaryota; Metazoa; Arthropoda; Insecta; Hymenoptera; Agaonidae
Description: eukaryotic LSU rRNA
Rfam family: Eukaryotic large subunit ribosomal RNA
Source: RNAcentral